GGGGAUGGGCCCGCGGCCUAUCAGCUUGUUGGUGGGGUGAUGGCCUACCAAGGCGACGACGGGUAGCCGGCCUGAGAGGGCGACCGGCCACACUGGGACUGAAACACGGCCCAGACUCCUACGGGAGGCAGCAGUGGGGAAUCUUGCGCAAUGGGCGAAAGCCUGACGCAGCGACGCCGCGUGAGGGAUGACGGCCUUCGGGUUGUAAACCUCUUUCAGCUCCGACGAAGCGGAAGUGACGGUAGGAGCAGAAGAAGCACCGGCCAACUACGUGCCAGCAGCCGCGGUAAUACGUAGGGUGCAAGCGUUGUCCGGAAUUAUUGGGCGUAAAGAGCUCGUAGGCGGUCUGUCGCGUCGGCUGUGAAAACUCGGGGCUCAACUCCGAGCUUGCAGUCGAUACGGGCAGGCUAGAGUGCGGCAGGGGAGACUGGAAUUCCUGGUGUAGCGGUGAAAUGCGCAGAUAUCAGGAGGAACACCGGUGGCGAAGGCGGGUCUCUGGGCCGAUACUGACGCUGAGGAGCGAAAGCGUGGGGAGCGAACAGGAUUAGAUACCCUGGUAGUCCACGCCGUAAACGUUGGGCGCUAGGUGUGGGAUCCCUUCCACGGGUUCCGUGCCGCAGCUAACGCAUUAAGCGCCCCGCUUGGGGAGUACGGCCGCAAGGCUAAAACUCAAAGGAAUUGACGGGGGCCCGCACAAGCGGCGGAGCAUGUGGAUUAAUUCGAUGCAACGCGAAGAACCUUACCUGGGUUUGACAUACACCGGAAAGCUGUGGAGACAUGGCCUCCGUAAGGCCGGUGUACAGGUGGUGCAUGGCUGUCGUCAGCUCGUGUCGUGAGAUGUUGGGUUAAGUCCCGCAACGAGCGCAACCCUCGUCCCAUGUUGCCAGCGGGUUAUGCCGGGGACUCAUGGGAGACUGCC
RNAcentral lists this ribosomal RNA (919 nucleotides) under uncultured Actinomycetes bacterium. Its description in RNAcentral is "bacterial SSU rRNA". It matches the Rfam family "Bacterial small subunit ribosomal RNA", at positions 221 to 1153 of the family's 1533-position model. RNAcentral also lists the same sequence under 1 other name. Lineage: Bacteria; Bacillati; Actinomycetota; Actinomycetes. The record is from RNAcentral.